This 496-nucleotide ribosomal RNA is filed under the name uncultured bacterium. RNAcentral's name for it is "partial 16S ribosomal RNA". It matches the Rfam family "Bacterial small subunit ribosomal RNA", at positions 28 to 506 of the family's 1533-position model. The record is from RNAcentral.
GAUGAACGCUGGCGGCGUGCCUAAUACAUGCAAGUCGAGCGAACAGACGAGGAGCUUGCUCCUCUCACGUUAGCGGCGGACGGGUGAGUAACACGUGGAUAACCUACCUAUAAGUCUGGGAUAACUUGGGGAAACCGGAGCUAAUACGGGAGAAUAUAUUGCACCGCAUGGUUCAAUAGUGAAAGACGGUUUUGCUGUCACUUCUAGAUGGAUCCGCGCCUCAUUAGCUAGUUGGUAAUGUAACGGCUUACCAAGGCGACGAUGCGUAGCCGAGCGGAGAGGGGGAUCGCGCACAGUGGAGCUGAGCGACGGUCCAGGCUCCUACGGGAGGCAGCAGUAGGGAAGCUUCCGCGAUGGGCGAAAGACUGACGGAGCAACGCCGCGUGAGUGAUGAAGGGCUGCGGAUCGUAAAACUCUGUUAUGAGGGAAGAACAAAUGUGUAAGUAACUAUGCACGUCUUGACGGUACAUAAACAGAAAGCCACGGCUAACUACUU